AAAGUGCGGCUGGAUCACCUCCUUAGAGUUUGAUCCUGGCUCAGAUUGAACGCUGGCGGCAGGCCUAACACAUGCAAGUCGAGCGGCAGCACGGGUACUUGUACCUGGUGGCGAGCGGCGGACGGGUGAGUAAUGCCUAGGAAUCUGCCUGGUAGUGGGGGAUAACGCUCGGAAACGGACGCUAAUACCGCAUACGUCCUACGGGAGAAAGCAGGGGACCUUCGGGCCUUGCGCUAUCAGAUGAGCCUAGGUCGGAUUAGCUAGUUGGUGAGGUAAUGGCUCACCAAGGCGACGAUCCGUAACUGGUCUGAGAGGAUGAUCAGUCACACUGGAACUGAGACACGGUCCAGACUCCUACGGGAGGCAGCAGUGGGGAAUAUUGGACAAUGGGUGAAAGCCUGAUCCAGCCAUGCCGCGUGUGUGAAGAAGGUCUUCGGAUUGUAAAGCACUUUAAGUUGGGAGGAAGGGCAUUAACCUAAUACGUUAGUGUUUUGACGUUACCGACAGAAUAAGCACCGGCUAACUCUGUGCCAGCAGCCGCGGUAAUACAGAGGGUGCAAGCGUUAAUCGGAAUUACUGGGCGUAAAGCGCGCGUAGGUGGUUUGUUAAGUUGGAUGUGAAAUCCCCGGGCUCAACCUGGGAACUGCAUUCAAAACUGACAAGCUAGAGUAUGGUAGAGGGUGGUGGAAUUUCCUGUGUAGCGGUGAAAUGCGUAGAUAUAGGAAGGAACACCAGUGGCGAAGGCGACCACCUGGACUGAUACUGACACUGAGGUGCGAAAGCGUGGGGAGCAAACAGGAUUAGAUACCCUGGUAGUCCACGCCGUAAACGAUGUCAACUAGCCGUUGGGAGCCUUGAGCUCUUAGUGGCGCAGCUAACGCAUUAAGUUGACCGCCUGGGGAGUACGGCCGCAAGGUUAAAACUCAAAUGAAUUGACGGGGGCCCGCACAAGCGGUGGAGCAUGUGGUUUAAUUUCGAAGCAACGCGAAGAACCUUACCAGGCCUUGACAUCCAAUGAAACUUUCCAGAGAUGGAUUGGGUGCCUUCGGGAACAUUGAGACAGGUGCUGCAUGGCUGUCGUCAGCUCCGUGUCGUGAGAUGUUGGGUAAGUCCCGUAACGAGCGCAACCCUUGUCCUUAGUUUCCAGCACGUCUUGGUGGGCACUCUAAGGAGACUGCCGGUGACAAACCGGAGGAAGGUGGGGAUGACGUCAAGUCAUCAUGGCCCUUACGGCCUGGGCUACACACGUGCUACAAUGGUCGGUACAGAGGGUUGCCAAGCCGCGAGGUGGAGCUAAUCCCAGAAAACCGAUCGUAGUCCGGAUCGCAGUCUGCAACUCGACUGCGUGAAGUCGGAAUCGCUAGUAAUCGCGAAUCAGAAUGUCGCGGUGAAUACGUUCCCGGGCCUUGUACACACCGCCCGUCACACCAUGGGAGUGGGUUGCACCAGAAGUAGCUAGUCUAACCUUCGGGGGGACGGUUACCACGGUGUGAUUCAUGACUGGGGUGAAGUCGUAACAAGGUAGCCGUAGGGGAACCUGCGGCUGGAUCACCUCCU
RNAcentral lists this ribosomal RNA (1557 nucleotides) under Pseudomonas sp. RKS1-1. Its description in RNAcentral is "bacterial SSU rRNA". It matches the Rfam family "Bacterial small subunit ribosomal RNA". Lineage: Bacteria; Pseudomonadati; Pseudomonadota; Gammaproteobacteria; Pseudomonadales; Pseudomonadaceae. The record is from RNAcentral.